This 260-nucleotide ribosomal RNA is filed under the name uncultured archaeon. RNAcentral's name for it is "partial 16S ribosomal RNA". It matches the Rfam family "Archaeal small subunit ribosomal RNA", at positions 748 to 1009 of the family's 1478-position model. The record is from RNAcentral.
UGGCCGUAAACGAUGUGGACUUGGUGUUGGGAUGGCUCCGAGCUGCCCCAGUGCCGAAGGGAAGCUGUUAAGUCCACCGCCUGGGAAGUACGGUCGCAAGGCUGAAACUUAAGGAAUUGGCGGGGGAGCACCACAACGGGUGGAGCCUGCGGUUUAAUUGGACUCAACGCCGGGAAGCUCACCGGAUAAGACAGCGGAAUGAUUGCCGGGCUGAAGACCCUGCAUGACCAGCUGAGAGGAGGUGCAUGGCGUAGUCGUGU